GGCCCAGUAGCGGACGGUCCGCGCCUGCACUCGAUUAUGAGUUACGAGGUUAUUAAGAAGUCGGCAGGAGCCGCUCGUUCGACUCGAGCCUGGGCCG
Molecule: non-coding RNA, 97 nt
Organism: Mycena latifolia
Lineage: Eukaryota; Fungi; Basidiomycota; Agaricomycetes; Agaricales; Mycenaceae
Source: the annotation of a GenBank genome assembly